GAUGAACGCUGGCGGCGUGCCUAAUACAUGCAAGUCGAGCGAACAGACGAGGAGCUUGCUCCUCUGACGUUAGCGGCGGACGGGUGAGUAACACGUGGAUAACCUACCUAUAAGACUUGGAUAACUUCGGGAAACCGGAGCUAAUACCGGAUAAUAUAUUGAACCGCAUGGUUCAAUAGUGAAAGUCGGUUUUGCUGUCACUUAUAGAUGGAUCCGCGCCGCAUUAGCUAGUUGGUAAGGUAACGGCUUACCAAGGCAACGAGGCGUAGCCGACCUGAGAGGUGGAUCGGCCACUGUGGAACUGAGACACGGUCCAGACCCCUACGGGAGGCAGCAGUAGGAAAUCUGCCGCAAGGGGCGAAAGCCUGACGGAGCAACGCCGCGUGAGUGAUGAAGGGCUUCGGAUCGUAAAACUCUGUGAUUAGAGAAGAACAAAUGUGUAAGUAACUAUGCACGUCUUGACGGUACCUAAGCAGAAAGCCACGGCUAACUACGG
Molecule: ribosomal RNA, 496 nt
Filed under: uncultured bacterium
Lineage: Bacteria
Description: partial 16S ribosomal RNA
Rfam family: Bacterial small subunit ribosomal RNA
Source: RNAcentral